AGCCCGUCUGGAAACACGGACCAAGGAGUCUUACAAUAAUGCGAGUGUUUGUCAUGGAAUGACGAACGCGCAGCGAAAGCGAAAUAGCUCUUGAACACGAGCGGGGCCUCUCUUUCCUCGGAAGGAGAAUACACUUGAAGCAUUACUGUAGGGACCCGAAAGAUGGUGAACUAUGCCUGAGCAACUUGAAGUCAGGCGAAAGCCUGAUGGAGGAGUGCAAACGGUUCUGACGUGCAAAUCGAUCGUGAGAUUUAGGUAUAGGGGCGAAAGACUAAUCGAACCAUCUAGUAGCUGGUUCCCUCCGAAGUUUCCCCCAGGAUAGCAGGAGCUUGAUUCAGUUUUAUCGGGUAAAGCGAAUGAUUAGAGGUUCGGGGAAUGAAACAUUCUUCACCUAUUCUCAAACUUUAAAUAGGUAAGACGCGCUGGUUGCUUAAUUGAACCAUCGCAAUCAAUGUGAGCUCCUAGUGGGCCAUUUUUGGUAAGCAGAACUGGCGAUGCGGGAUGAACCGAUAGUCGAGUUAAGGUGCCUAACUACGCACUAACCUAGAUCCCACAAAGGGUGUUGAUUGAUAUAGACAGCAGGACGGUGGCCAUGGAAGUCGGAAUCCGCUAAGGAGUGUGUAACAACUCACCUGCCGAAUCAAUUAGCCCCGAAAAUGGAUGGCGCUGAAGUGCGUGACCUAUACUCGGCCAUGGAAGCAAGUGCGACGCUUCCAUGAGUAGGAGGGCGUGGGCGUCGUUGCGCAGCCUGGGGCGUGAGCCUGGGUGAAACGGCGUCUAGUGCAGAUCUUGGUGGUAGUAGCAAAUAUUCAAAUGA
This 817-nucleotide ribosomal RNA is filed under the name uncultured Symbiodinium. Its description in RNAcentral is "partial Eukaryotic large subunit ribosomal RNA". It matches the Rfam family "Eukaryotic large subunit ribosomal RNA", at positions 646 to 1478 of the family's 3401-position model. Lineage: Eukaryota; Dinophyceae; Suessiales; Symbiodiniaceae. The record is from RNAcentral.